This 597-nucleotide ribosomal RNA is filed under the name uncultured bacterium. RNAcentral's name for it is "bacterial SSU rRNA". It matches the Rfam family "Bacterial small subunit ribosomal RNA", at positions 167 to 764 of the family's 1533-position model. The record is from RNAcentral.
UAUCCGAUAGCAUAUCAAGAUCGCAUGAUCUUGAUAUUAAAGAAUUCGGUUAUCGAUGGGGAUGCGUUCCAUUAGUUAGUUGGCGGGGUAACGGCCCACCAAGACGACGAUGGAUAGGGGUUCUGAGAGGAAGGUCCCCCACAUUGGAACUGAGACACGGUCCAAACUCCUACGGGAGGCAGCAGUGAGGAAUAUUGGUCAAUGGACGAGAGUCUGAACCAGCCAAGUAGCGUGAAGGAUGACUGCCCUAUGGGUUGUAAACUUCUUUUAUAUGGGAAUAAAACAGGGUAUGCAUACCCUCUUGUAUGUACCAUAUGAAUAAGGAUCGGCUAACUCCGUGCCAGCAGCCGCGGUAAUACGGAGGAUCCGGGCGUUAUCCGGAUUUAUUGGGUUUAAAGGGAGCGUAGGUGGAUUGUUAAGUCAGUUGUGAAAGUUUGCGGCUCAACCGUAAAAUUGCAGUUGAAACUGGCAGUCUUGAGUACAGUAGAGGUGGGCGGAAUUCGUGGUGUAGCGGUGAAAUGCUUAGAUAUCACGAAGAACUCCGAUUGCGAAGGCAGCUCACUGGACUGCAACUGACACUGAUGCUCGAAAGUGUGG